GGACAAGCGAAUAAGUGCACAUGGUGGAUGCCUUGGCGAUUACAGGCGAUGAAGGACGUAGUAGCUUGCGAUAAGCUGCGGGGAGCUAGCAAACGAGCUUUGAUCCGCAGAUUUCCGAAUGGGGAAACCCGGCCUUUAUAGGUCAUUGCAUACUGAAUACAUAGGUAUGCAAAGCGAACGCGGCGAACUGAAACAUCUAAGUAGCUGCAGGAAAAGAAAUCAACCGAGAUUCCCAAAGUAGUGGCGAGCGAAAUGGGAUGAGCCUGUAUGUAAUAGUCGAUCGGAUAGUGGAAGCCUCUGGAAAUAGGCGCCAUAGAGGGUGAUAGCCCCUUACACGAAAUUCGAACGGUGGUACUAAGCAUACGACAAGUAGGGCGGGACACGAGAAAUCCUGUCUGAACAUGGGGGGACCAUCCUCCAAGGCUAAAUACUCGUAAUCGACCGAUAGUGAACCAGUACCGUGAGGGAAAGGCGAAAAGAACCCCGGGAGGGGAGUGAAAUAGAUCCUGAAACCGUGUGCAUACAAACAGUAGGAGCGGACUUGUUCCGUGACUGCGUACCUUUUGUAUAAUGGGUCAGCGACUUACAUUCAGUGGCGAGGUUAACCGUAUAGGGGAGCCGUAGAGAAAUCGAGUCCGAAUAGGGCGACAGUCGCUGGGUGUAGACCCGAAACCAAGUGAUCUACCCAUGGCCAGGAUGAAGGUGCGGUAACACGCCCUGGAGGUCCGAACCCACUAAUGUUGAAAAAUUAGGGGAUGAGCUGUGGGUAGGGGUGAAAGGCUAAACAAACUUGGAAAUAGCUGGUUCUCUCCGAAAACUAUUUAGGUAGUGCCUCAAGUAUCACCAUCGGGGGUAGAGCACUGUUAUGGCUAGGGGGUCAUUGCGACUUACCAAACCAUUGCAAACUCCGAAUACCGAUGAGUGCGAGCUUGGGAGACAGACAUCGGGUGCUAACGUCCGGUGUCAAGAGGGAAACAACCCAGACCGCCAGCUAAGGUCCCAAAGAUUGGCUAAGUGGAAAACGAAGUGGGAAGGCUAAAACAGUCAGGAUGUUGGCUUAGAAGCAGCCAUCAUUUAAAGAAAGCGUAAUAGCUCACUGAUCGAGUCGUCCUGCGCGGAAGAUGUAACGGGGCUAAGCCAGUCACCGAAGCUGCGGAUAU
RNAcentral lists this ribosomal RNA (1160 nucleotides) under Massilia aurea. RNAcentral's name for it is "partial 23S ribosomal RNA". It matches the Rfam family "Bacterial large subunit ribosomal RNA", at positions 1 to 1209 of the family's 2925-position model. The record is from RNAcentral. Lineage: Bacteria; Pseudomonadati; Pseudomonadota; Betaproteobacteria; Burkholderiales; Oxalobacteraceae.